GUCAGCAGCCAUAUAACCCUGCAACUCAACAACAGGCAACCCACUGAGGCUAAGAGGUGUGAGCCUGGUCAGUACCUGGAUGGGAGACCUCCUGGGAAAAACUAAGGUUGCUGCUGGAA
Ribosomal RNA from Lepisosteus oculatus (spotted gar), 119 nucleotides. The record is from Ensembl. Lineage: Eukaryota; Metazoa; Chordata; Actinopteri; Semionotiformes; Lepisosteidae.